GGUUAAGCGACUAAGCGUACACGGUGGAUGCCCUGGCAGUCAGAGGCGAUGAAGGGCGUGCUAAUCUGCGAUAAGCGCCGGUAAGGUGAUAUGAACCGUUAUAACCGGCGAUACCCGAAUGGGGAAACCCAGUGUGAUUCGUCACACUAUCAUUAACUGAAUCCAUAGGUUAAUGAGGCGAACCGGGGGAACUGAAACAUCUAAGUACCCCGAGGAAAAGAAAUCAACCGAGAUUCCCCCAGUAGCGGCGAGCGAACGGGGAGGAGCCCAGAGCCUGAAUCAGCAUGUGUGUUAGUGGAAGCGUCUGGAAAGGCGCGCGAUACAGGGUGACAGCCCCGUACACAAAAGCGCAUGUGCUGUGAGCUCGAUGAGUAGGGCGGGACACGUGGUAUCCUGUCUGAAUAUGGGGGGACCAUCCUCCAAGGCUAAAUACUCCUGACUGACCGAUAGUGAACCAGUACCGUGAGGGAAAGGCGAAAAGAACCCCGGCGAGGGGAGUGAAAAAGAACCUGAAACCGUGUACGUACAAGCAGUGGGAGCCCCACCACUAAGCCAGUGGUGAACUCCACAUCCGCAUCCUUUGCUGAGGAUACGGUUAACGGAGCGAAAGCGACGUUCAACCGCAAAACAAGCAGAGGGGGCUUAGUGGUGGGGUGACUGCGUACCUUUUGUAUAAUGGGUCAGCGACUUAUAUUCUGUAGCAAGGUUAACCGAAUAGGGGAGCCGGAGGGAAACCGAGUCUUAAUUGGGCGUUAAGUUGCAGGGUAUAGACCCGAAACCCGGUGAUCUAGCCAUGGGCAGGUUGAAGGUUGGGUAACACUAACUGGAGGACCGAACCGACUAAUGUUGAAAAAUUAGCGGAUGACCUGUGGCUGGGGGUGAAAGGCCAAUCAAACCGGGAGAUAGCUGGUUCUCCCCGAAAGCUAUUUAGGUAGCGCCUCGUGAAUUCAUCUCCGGGGGUAGAGCACUGUUUCGGCUAGGGGGCCAUCCCGGCUUACCAACCCGAUGCAAACUGCGAAUACCGGAGAAUGUUAUCACGGGAGACACACGGCGGGUGCUAACGUCCGUCGUGAAGAGGGAAACAACCCAGACCGCCAGCUAAGGUCCCAAAGUCAUGGUUAAGUGGGAAACGAUGUGGGAAGGCCCAGACAGCCAGGAUGUUGGCUUAGAAGCAGCCAUCAUUUAAAGAAAGCGUAAUAGCUCACUGGUCGAGUCGGCCUGCGCGGAAGAUGUAACGGGGCUAAACCAUGCACCGAAGCUGCGGCAGCGACGCUGAUGCGUUGUUGGGUAGGGGAGCGUUCUGUAAGCCUGUGAAGGUGUGUCGUGAGGCAUGCUGGAGGUAUCAGAAGUGCGAAUGCUGACAUAAGUAACGAUAAAGCGGGUGAAAAGCCCGCUCGCCGGAAGACCAAGGGUUCCUGUCCAACGUUAAUCGGGGCAGGGUGAGUCGACCCCUAAGGCGAGGCCGAAAGGCGUAGUCGAUGGGAAACGGGUUAAUAUUCCCGUACUUGGUGUUACUGCGAAGGGGGGACGGAGAAGGCUAUGUUGGCCGGGCGACGGUUGUCCCGGUUUAAGCGUGUAGGUGUGUGUUCCAGGUAAAUCCGGUUCACUUUAACACUGAGGCGUGACGACGAGGCACUACGGUGCUGAAGCAACAAAUGCCCUGCUUCCAGGAAAAGCCUCUAAGCAUCAGGUAACACGAAAUCGUACCCCAAACCGACACAGGUGGUCAGGUAGAGAAUACCAAGGCGCUUGAGAGAACUCGGGUGAAGGAACUAGGCAAAAUGGUGCCGUAACUUCGGGAGAAGGCACGCUGACACGUAGGUGAAGUGAUUUACUCAUGGAGCUGAAGUCAGUCGAAGAUACCAGCUGGCUGCAACUGUUUAUUAAAAACACAGCACUGUGCAAACACGAAAGUGGACGUAUACGGUGUGACGCCUGCCCGGUGCCGGAAGGUUAAUUGAUGGGGUCAGCGCAAGCGAAGCUCCUGAUCGAAGCCCCGGUAAACGGCGGCCGUAACUAUAACGGUCCUAAGGUAGCGAAAUUCCUUGUCGGGUAAGUUCCGACCUGCACGAAUGGCGUAAUGAUGGCCAGGCUGUCUCCACCCGAGACUCAGUGAAAUUGAACUCGCUGUGAAGAUGCAGUGUACCCGCGGCAAGACGGAAAGACCCCGUGAACCUUUACUAUAGCUUGACACUGAACAUUGAGCCUUGAUGUGUAGGAUAGGUGGGAGGCUUUGAAGUGUGGACGCCAGUCUGCAUGGAGCCGACCUUGAAAUACCACCCUUUAAUGUUUGAUGUUCUAACGUGGACCCGUAAUCCGGGUUGCGGACAGUGUCUGGUGGGUAGUUUGACUGGGGCGGUCUCCUCCUAAAGAGUAACGGAGGAGCACGAAGGUUGGCUAAUCCUGGUCGGACAUCAGGAGGUUAGUGCAAUGGCAUAAGCCAGCUUGACUGCGAGCGUGACGGCGCGAGCAGGUGCGAAAGCAGGUCAUAGUGAUCCGGUGGUUCUGAAUGGAAGGGCCAUCGCUCAACGGAUAAAAGGUACUCCGGGGAUAACAGGCUGAUACCGCCCAAGAGUUCAUAUCGACGGCGGUGUUUGGCACCUCGAUGUCGGCUCAUCACAUCCUGGGGCUGAAGUAGGUCCCAAGGGUAUGGCUGUUCGCCAUUUAAAGUGGUACGCGAGCUGGGUUUAGAACGUCGUGAGACAGUUCGGUCCCUAUCUGCCGUGGGCGCUGGAGAACUGAGGGGGGCUGCUCCUAGUACGAGAGGACCGGAGUGGACGCAUCACUGGUGUUCGGGUUGUCAUGCCAAUGGCACUGCCCGGUAGCUAAAUGCGGAAGAGAUAAGUGCUGAAAGCAUCUAAGCACGAAACUUGCCCCGAGAUGAGUUCUCCCUGAGACUUAGAGUCUCCUGAAGGAACGUUGAAGACGACGACGUUGAUAGGCCGGGUGUGUAAGCGCAGCGAUGCGUUGAGCUAACCGGUACUAAUGAACCGUGAGGCUUAACCUU
Molecule: ribosomal RNA, 3007 nt
Filed under: Salmonella enterica
Lineage: Bacteria; Pseudomonadati; Pseudomonadota; Gammaproteobacteria; Enterobacterales; Enterobacteriaceae
Also listed under: 5 other names
Description: 23S ribosomal RNA
Rfam family: Bacterial large subunit ribosomal RNA
Source: RNAcentral